ACUUAAAUUGAAGAGUUUGAUCAUGGCUCAGAUUGAACGCUGGCGGCAGGCCUAACACAUGCAAGUCGAGCGGUAGCACAGAGAGCUUGCUCUCGGGUGACGAGCGGCGGACGGGUGAGUAAUGUCUGGGAAACUGCCUGAUGGAGGGGGAUAACUACUGGAAACGGUAGCUAAUACCGCAUAACGUCGCAAGACCAAAGUGGGGGACCUUCGGGCCUCAUGCCAUCAGAUGUGCCCAGAUGGGAUUAGCUAGUAGGUGGGGUAACGGCUCACCUAGGCGACGAUCCCUAGCUGGUCUGAGAGGAUGACCAGCCACACUGGAACUGAGACACGGUCCAGACUCCUACGGGAGGCAGCAGUGGGGAAUAUUGCACAAUGGGCGCAAGCCUGAUGCAGCC
This 398-nucleotide ribosomal RNA is filed under the name Klebsiella pneumoniae. RNAcentral's name for it is "bacterial SSU rRNA". It matches the Rfam family "Bacterial small subunit ribosomal RNA", at positions 1 to 393 of the family's 1533-position model. The record is from RNAcentral. Lineage: Bacteria; Pseudomonadati; Pseudomonadota; Gammaproteobacteria; Enterobacterales; Enterobacteriaceae.